GUUCUGGAUUCUCCCAACGUUCCCAGAGACCAGGCCACCACAUGGUACAAUCUCCUACAAUGAAGUGGUCCUCUUGAAAACAUCUCGGGGGGCCAACCAACAUGGGACAAUUUCAACCAUAGGUGUCUUUUUCAUGCCCACACCCUUAAUUUUAAACUGCAUUUAAGCUAAUUUCCCAACACAGAAGCAUAGUUUAUGGGUAUUUAUUGUGUUUUUGUAAUCCUCUAUAUCACAUGUAUGGUGUCUAUCACUGAGUCUACUACCUAUAAGAUGAUUACAUUCUUUGAAGAGUUCAUGUAAUCAUAAUGCUAAUUUCCAAACAGUGAUUUAUUUGGUAUGUUUUUGAUGCUUGUGUACACUUGGCCAUCCAUAUUUUCAGGGUUUGGCUUUUGCAGAUUUGAUUAUUCAGGAAUUUGAUUAAUAUGUUCUUUCAGUGUUACUCUAUAGUCAACUUUUGUCAGAUGUUGACCAUAUAGAGUUUGGAGAUUCCUAGGAAUGAGUUCUCUCAGGUAAACAAGAAAUUUAGCAAUUUUAAUUUGAAGAUUUUUUUUUUAACUUUUGCAGGAGUCCUGAUUUCCUAACCCCAGCAAAUGUGGAUGGCCCACUGUAUUCAAUAAAUAUUUUCAAAAGAGAUGGGUGGACAGGCUACUGGGACAACUGCAAAGAUCCAAAGAUCCUGUACACAUGUGUGCACACUUAUCUAUAUAUUGUGCAGAACACACUUGUUAGCAUACUAUUCAUAACAUCUUACAUGAUUCAGAAAAAACUUUGAAAUGUAUAUUCGAGGAUUUUUCAGGCUGGCCAGGAGAUUCAGGGAUCAAUAAAUUAAAGCAGGAACUUUUCCAAUCUUUGGUUUUAGGAGCAUAUAAAGCUACUUUCUGCUAACUCAGAAUAUGUGUCCAUCAACAUAUGUUCAUUACAGGUAUAUGAAUACCAGUUUAACUGCUAUAGCUCCUUUCUGUGGAAUCUGUAGUUUGGUAGGGCAAUAAAAAUGGUCUGGCAGAGAAUUCUAAUCCAUUCACCUGAAUUACAGUAUCAAUGGACUAUUUUUUUAUUUAAAACAUUUAUAAUUCUGGCCUUUUGACCCCGAAGGGGACUCAGGGCACAGCACAACAUAUAUACAGCAAGCACUCAAUGCCAGAACAUAAAAUAAACCGUAAAUAAACACUAAACACUAAAAUCAGUUAUCUUCACAUUAAAACCAUUAUUUAUUUAAAAUUACAAUUCUACAAUUUCAGUUGUGGCUAAAGUUGAGGAAUUCCAGGACAUUGUGAUAAAUUUUCCAAAUUCUGCAUAAAUCUUGAUCUGCUACCUUAUUGUUCCAGGUGAAGCGGUAAAAGAAAAUAUGAUGGAGAAUUCAAGGAAGAGCAUCAAAUGGUGUGAGGAAGCAAUUGAAUCUAAGCUCCAGGUGCCAUUAAAGAACAUUUAAGUGUAUUGACCUUAGCAAAUCCAGCAUCUUUGAUGCCAGGAAAGCAAUUUCUAUGAGAUGAACAGUUUCCAGCUCUUGAUAAGAGAUAGAGGAAAAGGAAGAAGAAAAUGAAUCUCCCUUUGAAGAAAAGCAGACUUGUGUUAGUCAUUACAACAUAUUCUUGUAUUUAUUUUCAUUUAUGCAGUAGGCAAUAUAUUUCCUGUUCCUUACUGUAAAUAAGGCUCAGUAUAUAUAAAUAAAAUGAUGGACAAUUUCCCCCUUCA
Long non-coding RNA from Anolis carolinensis (green anole), 1692 nucleotides. RefSeq lists it as uncharacterized. NCBI's taxonomy places the organism in Eukaryota, Metazoa, Chordata, Lepidosauria, Squamata, Anolidae. The transcript has 3 exons. The record is from RefSeq and is a predicted model, not a curated record.